AUUGAACGCUGGCGGCAGGCCUAACACAUGCAAGUCGAGCGGAUGAAGGGAGCUUGUUCCUGGAUUCAGCGGCGGACGGGUGAGUAAUGCCUAGGUAUCUGCCUGGUAGUGGGGGAUAACGUCCGGAAACGGGCGCUAAUACCGCAUACGUCCUGAGGGAGAAAGUGGUGGAUCUUCGGACCUCACGCUAUCAGAUGACCCUAGGUCGGAUUAGCUAGUUGGUGGGGUAAAGGCCUACCAAGGCGACGAUCCGUAACUGCUCUGAGAGGAUGAUCAGUCACACUGGAACUGAGACACGGUCCAGACUCCUACGGGAGGCAGCAGUGGGGAAUAUUGGACAAUGGGCGAAAGCCUGAUCGAGCCAUGCCGCGUGUGUGAAGAAGGUCUUCGGAUUGUAAAGCACUUUAAGUUGGGAGGAAGGGCAGUAAGUGAAUACCUUGCUGUUUUGACGUUACCAACAGAAUAAGCACCGGCUAACUUCGUG
RNAcentral lists this ribosomal RNA (484 nucleotides) under uncultured bacterium. RNAcentral's name for it is "partial 16S ribosomal RNA". It matches the Rfam family "Bacterial small subunit ribosomal RNA", at positions 30 to 507 of the family's 1533-position model. The record is from RNAcentral.